AGCACUGUUUCGGCAAGGGGGUCAUCCCGACUUACCAACCCGAUGCAAACUGCGAAUACCGGAGAAUGUUAUCACGGGAGACACACGGCGGGUGCUAACGUCCGUCGUGAAGAGGGAAACAACCCAGACCGCCAGCUAAGGUCCCAAAGUCAUGGUUAAGUGGGAAACGAUGUGGGAAGGCCCAGACAGCCAGGAUGUUGGCUUAGAAGCAGCCAUCAUUUAAAGAAAGCGUAAUAGCUCACUGGU
Molecule: ribosomal RNA, 246 nt
Filed under: Escherichia coli
Lineage: Bacteria; Pseudomonadati; Pseudomonadota; Gammaproteobacteria; Enterobacterales; Enterobacteriaceae
Description: partial 23S ribosomal RNA
Rfam family: Bacterial large subunit ribosomal RNA
Source: RNAcentral